RNAcentral lists this transfer RNA (84 nucleotides) under Candidatus Pacearchaeota archaeon. RNAcentral's name for it is "tRNA-Leu". It matches the Rfam family "tRNA". From Rfam's summary of the family: Transfer RNA (tRNA) molecules are approximately 80 nucleotides in length. RNAcentral also lists the same sequence under 1 other name. The record is from RNAcentral. Lineage: Archaea; Nanobdellati.
GCGGGGGUGCCGGAGAGGCCAAACGGGCAGGACUUAAGAUCCUGUGGCUUAGUGCCUGCGAAGGUUCGAUUCCUUCCCCCCGCA